Molecule: ribosomal RNA, 239 nt
Filed under: uncultured bacterium
Lineage: Bacteria
Description: partial 16S ribosomal RNA
Rfam family: Bacterial small subunit ribosomal RNA
Source: RNAcentral
CGGCGGACGGGUGAGUAACGCGUGGGUAACCUAGCCUCAUACAGGGGGAUAACAGUUGGAAACGGCUGCUAAUACCGCAUAAGCGCACAGUACCGCAUGGUACGGUGUGAAAAACUCCGGUGGUAUGAGAUGGACCCGCGUCUGAUUAGGUAGUUGGUGGGGUAACGGCCUACCAAGCCGACGAUCAGUAGCCGACCUGAGAGGGUGACCGGCCACAUUGGGACUGAGACACGGCCCAA